GACGAACGCUGGCGGCGUGCUUAACACAUGCAAGUCGAACGGAAAGGCCUCUUUCGGGGGGUACUCGAGUGGCGAACGGGUGAGUAACACGUGAGUAACCUGCCCUUGACUUUGGGAUAACUUCAGGAAACUGGGGCUAAUACCGGAUAGGAGCUCCUGCUGCAUGGCGGGGGUUGGAAAGUUUCGGCGGUUGGGGAUGGACUCGCGGCUUAUCAGCUUGUUGGUGGGGUAGUGGCUUACCAAGGCUUUGACGGGUAGCCGGCCUGAGAGGGUGACCGGCCACAUUGGGACUGAGAGACGGCCCAGACUCCUACGGGAGGCAGCAGUGGGGAAUAUUGCACAAUGGGUGGAAGCCUGAUGCAGCAACGCCGUGUGCGGGAUGACGGCCUUCGGGUUGUAAACCGCUUUCGCUCAUGACGAAGCUUUGUGUGACGGUAGUGGGUAAAGAAGCACCGGCUAACUACGUG
This 467-nucleotide ribosomal RNA is filed under the name uncultured bacterium. Its description in RNAcentral is "partial 16S ribosomal RNA". It matches the Rfam family "Bacterial small subunit ribosomal RNA", at positions 28 to 507 of the family's 1533-position model. The record is from RNAcentral.